CCAAGGAAGGCAGCAGGCGCGCAAAUUACCCACUCCCAGCACGGGGAGGUAGUGACGAAAAAUAACAAUACGGGACUCUUUCGAGACCCCGUAAUUGGAAUGAGUACAGCUUAAAUCCUUUAACGACGACCCAUUGGAGAUAAAGUCUGGUGCCAGCAUUCGCGGUAACUCCAGCUCCAAUAGCGUAUAUUAAAGUUGUUGCGGUUAAAAAGCUCGUAGUUGGAUCUCAGUUUGCGCGGGGGCGGUCCGACAACCGUCGGCCACUGCUCUCGCGCGACCGUGCCGCCGGUUUCCUGGGAUGAUCUUGACCGGUUGUCUCGGGUGACCGGCAAGUUUACUUUGAAAAAAUUAGAGUGCUCAAAGCAGGCUCGGACGCCUGGACAAUGGUGCAUGGAAUAAUGGAAUAGGACCUCGGUUCUAUUUUGUUGGUUUAUACGAACGUCGAGGUAAUGAUUAAGAGGGACAGACGGGGGCAUUCGUAUUGCGACGCUAGAGGUGAAAUUCUUGGACCGCCGCACGACGAACUACUGCGAAAGCAUUUGCCAAGGAUGUUUUCAUUAAUCAAGAACGAAAGUCAGAGGUGCGAAGGCGAUCAGAUACCGCCCUAGUUCUGACCAUAAACGAUGCCAGCCAGCGAUCCGGCUGCGUUGCUUGUAUGACGCGCCGGGCAGCUUCCGGGAAACCAAAGCUUUUGGGUUCCGGGGGGAGUAUGGUUGCAAAACUGGAACUUAAAGGAAUUGACGGAAGCGCACACAAGAAAUGGGGCCUGCGGCUUAAUUUGACUCAACACGGUGCAACUCAUCCGGUCCGGACACAGGAAGGAUUGACAGAU
Molecule: ribosomal RNA, 832 nt
Filed under: Tetragnatha virescens
Lineage: Eukaryota; Metazoa; Arthropoda; Arachnida; Araneae; Tetragnathidae
Description: SSU rRNA
Rfam family: Eukaryotic small subunit ribosomal RNA
Source: RNAcentral